CCCCUUCCAAUCCCCCUCGCCCGCCCCUAUAUUCGCUGUGCCGGCUUGCCGGCUAUGGCGAUAAACUGCCGAUGAAAUAAGCCGUUCGGACCCGGGGGCGGUACCCGGCGCCUCCACCACAAGCCGCCGUCAUGCAUGGCGGUUUCUGCUGGGGGCGAAAUAGGAUCGACGAAGGUGUAAAGAUCGGACUUUUGCCCGGCAUGAUACCGCCGUUAUCGGGUCAAACCUAUAGUUGCCAACGACAACUAUGCUGAGGCACGUCUCGCUGCGUAAGCAGUGCGAUAGUCUCGAAUAAAGCCCUGUGGGUUAGCACCUUCAGGCGGGGUUCGGAGGUACCUGGCAACAGAAACCUCCACC
RNAcentral lists this transfer-messenger RNA (357 nucleotides) under Mesorhizobium sp. It matches the Rfam family "Alphaproteobacteria transfer-messenger RNA". Rfam says of the family: Bacterial tmRNA, also known as 10Sa RNA or SsrA, is named for its dual tRNA and mRNA-like properties. Its role is to liberate the mRNA from a stalled ribosome. To accomplish this part of the tmRNA is used as a reading frame that ends in a translation stop signal. Lineage: Bacteria; Pseudomonadati; Pseudomonadota; Alphaproteobacteria; Hyphomicrobiales; Phyllobacteriaceae. The record is from RNAcentral.